Molecule: long non-coding RNA, 272 nt
Filed under: Manihot esculenta (cassava)
Lineage: Eukaryota; Viridiplantae; Streptophyta; Magnoliopsida; Malpighiales; Euphorbiaceae
Description: long non-coding RNA (MESC_LNC009835)
Source: RNAcentral
CGCUGAAUCUGUUACUUAUCCAUCGUGUCCUUCACCGCUCACCGUGAAUCACUGCUCGCGUCGGCCGCCGCUCUCAUUGUUGGCUGAUCCAUUGCAUAUACCUCACCAUAACUCGCUGCUCUCAUCGCGCACUACUCGCUUUACUGAUUGAUCGAUCUAUCACCUGCCGCUCAUGUCGCUCCACUGUUCGUAUCGCUUUUGCCUAUCGCUCGCAUCACCUGUCGAUCCGUUGCCUGCGCUCACGUAGUCUACUUGUCAUUCGCUAAUACUCC